This 2138-nucleotide ribosomal RNA is filed under the name Capsicum baccatum. Its description in RNAcentral is "eukaryotic LSU rRNA". It matches the Rfam family "Eukaryotic large subunit ribosomal RNA", at positions 1 to 2451 of the family's 3401-position model. The record is from RNAcentral. Lineage: Eukaryota; Viridiplantae; Streptophyta; Magnoliopsida; Solanales; Solanaceae.
GUGACCCCAGGUCAAGCGGGAUUACCUGGUGAGUUUAACCAUAUCAAUAAGCGGAGCAAAAUAAACUUACAAAGAUUAACUUAGUAACGACGAGUGAACCGGGAACAGCCCAGCCUUAGAAUCCGCUGGCUCCGUCAUCCGAAUUGUAGUUUGGAGAAGCAUCCUCAGAGGCGGACCUAGCCCAUGUCCCCUGAAAGGGGGCACCAGAGAGGGUGAGAGCCCCAUUGUUCUCGGAUCUUAUCGUACCACGAGGCACUGUCUACGAGUUAGGUUAUUUAGGAAUGCAGCCCAAAUCGGGCCUUGAAUUCCUUCCAAGGCUAAAUAUGGGCGACGGACCAAUAGUAAUAAAGUAACGUAAGGGAAAUAUUAAAAGGACUUUUUAAAUAGAGUCAAAGAGUGAUUGAAAUUAUCGUGAGGGAAGCGAAUGGGGGCUGGCAAUAUGCCACAGUCGAAUGUGGAAAGGAGACAAGCCGGUCCGCCGAUUGACCCGGGGCAUGGACCAACGUUGAUUGGGGGCGGUCAAAGCUCGGGCUCUCGAUACAAUCGUUGAAUGCCUUCUCCUCAAUUGUGGAAGGCAGUGCGCGCCUCCGGCGUGCUUCAACAUCUAUGCGCUACGGAUGCUGGCUUGUGGACUCCUUAUUCGACCCAUCUUAAAAAACGGUCUAAGGAGUUUGAUAUGUGUGCGAGUCAACGAGCGAGUAAACUCGUAAGGCGUAAGAAAGUUGAUUGGUGGUAUCCCCUCGAAGGGUUCACCGUCGACCGACCCUUAUAUUUUGAGAAGGGUUCGAGUGUGAGUAUACCUAUUGGGACCCAAAAGAUGAACUAUGCCUGGGCGGGGUGAAGCCAAAGGAAACUCUAGUAGAGGCCCGCAGCAAUAAUGAUGUGUAAAUCGUUCAUCUGACUUGGGUGUAGGGACUGCGGCUACAUUAUCGAGCCGUGCCAUUGAAUCAAGAGCUCUAUGUGGGCCAUUUUUUGUAAGUAGAAAUGGCGAUGUAGGAUGAACUGGAAGCCGGGUUAAGCGCCAAAUAAACUAGCCCCGAAAAUAGAUAGCACUUAAGCGCGCGACCUAUACCCGAUCAUCGGGGAAAGUCCCAAGCCCCGAUGAGUAGGAAGGUGUUGCAGUCGCUGCAAAAUCUUAGGCGCGAGCCUGGGUAGAGUGGCCGUUGGUGGUAGUUGCAAAUUUUCAAAUGAGAACUUUGAAGGCCGAAGAGGGGAAACGUUCCAUGUAAACGACACUUGCACAUAGGUUAGUCGAUCCUAAGGGUUGGGGGAACCCCGACAGAUAGCACAUUUCAUGAGUACUCCAAAAGAGAAUCGGGUUAAAAUUCCUGACCGGGACGUAGCGGUCGACGGAAACGUUAGGAAGUGUAGAGAUGUCGGGAAGAGCCUCUGGAAGAGUUAUCUUUUCUAUUUAACAGCCUGCCUACCCUGGAAUCGGCUUAGCUGGAGGUAGGGUCCAGCGGCUGGAAUAGCACCGCACGUCAUGUGGUGUUUGGUGUACUACCGGUGGCACUUGAAAAUCAAGAGAACCGAAUGCCGUCCAUGCCCGGUCGUACUCAUACCUACAUAAGGUCUCCAAAGGGAACAACCUCUGGUCGAUGGAACAAUGUAGGCAAGGGAAGUCAGUAAAAUGGAUCCGUAACUUUUGGAAAAGGAUUGGCACUGAGGGUUGGGCACGGGAUCCCAGUCCCAAACCUGUCGGCUGUCGGUGGACUACUAGAGCUGCUCCCGCAGCAAGAUCGGGUCACUGCAAGCCGAUCGAGGGAUGGACUGGGAACGGUUCCUUCAGGGGUCUUCCCCGUGCGUCAAGCAACCAACUCAGAACUGGUACGGACAAGGGGAAUCUGACUGUUUAAUUAAAACAAAGAAUUGCGAAUUGUCAUUUCUGCCUAGUGCUCUAAAUGCAAAAGUGAAGAAUUUCAACCAAGCUCGGGUAAACGGCGGGAGUAACUAUGAAUCUCUCAAGGUAGCCAAAUUCCUCGUCAUAUAAUUAGUGAUGACAUAAAUAGAUUAAAGAGAUUCCCACUAUGCUUGUCUACUAUCCAGCGAAACCACAACCAAGGGAAUGGGCUUGGCAGAAUCAGCGGGGAAAGAAGACCCUCUUGAGCUUGACUCUACUCCGACUUUGUGAAGUGACU